UACGGAGGGUGCAAGCGUUAUCCGGAUUCACUGGGUUUAAAGGGUGCGUAGGCGGGCAGGUAAGUCAGUGGUGAAAUCCUCGAGCUUAACUCGGGAACUGCCAUUGAUACUAUCUGUCUUGAAUAUUGUGGAGGUGAGCGGAAUAUGUCAUGUAGCGGUGAAAUGCUUAGAUAUGACAUAGAACACCCAUUGCGAAGGCAGCUCACUACGCAUAUAUUGACGCUGAUGCACGAAAGCGUGGGGAUCAAACAGG
Molecule: ribosomal RNA, 253 nt
Filed under: uncultured bacterium
Lineage: Bacteria
Description: partial 16S ribosomal RNA
Rfam family: Bacterial small subunit ribosomal RNA
Source: RNAcentral